GAUAAACGCUGGCGGCGUGCCUAAUGCAUGCAAGUCGAACGGAGUGGCAAACGGGUGAGUAACACGUGGGAAUCUACCCUUUAGUGGGGAAUAACUACUCGAAAGAGUAGCUAAUACCGCAUACUAAAGGAUGAGCCUGCGGCUGAUUAGCUAGUUGGUGGGGUAAAGGCUUACCAAGGCGUUGAUCAGUAGCUGGUCUGAGAGGAUGGUCAGCCACACUGGGACUGCGACACGGCCCAGACUCCUACGGGAGGCAGCAGCAAGGAAUUUUCGGCAAUGGGGGCAACCCUGACCGAGCAACGCCGCGUGAGGGAUGAAGUAUUUCGGUAUGUAAACCUCUUUUUAGUGGGAAGCGGUACCACUAGAAUAAGCAUCGGCUAACUACGUGCCAGCAGCCGCGGUAAUACGUAGGAUGCAAGCGUUGUCCGGAAUUAUUGGGCGUAAAGGGCGCGCAGGCGGUAUAGCAAGUCAGAGGUGAAAUUUCCCGGCUUAACCGGGAAUGGUCGUCUGAAACUGCUAAACUAGAGUGCAGGAGAGGAAAGCGGAAUUCCCGGUGUAGUGGUGAAAUGCGUAGAUAUCGGGAGGAACACCAGAGGCGAAAGCGGCUUUCUGGCCUGCAACUGACGCUGAGGCGCGAAGGCUAGGGUAGCAAACAGGAUUAGAUACCCUGGUAGUCCUAGCAGUAAACGAUGAACACUAGGUGUGCGUGCCGUAGCAAACGCAAUAAGUGUUCCGCCUGGGGAGUACGGUCGCAAGAUUAAAACUCAAAGGAAUUGACGGGGGCCCGCACAAGCAGCGGAGCGUGUGGUUUAAUUCGACGCAACGCGAAGAACCUUACCAGGGCUUGACAUGCAGAUGCUGCAUGGCUGUCGUCGGCUCGUGUCGUGAGAUGUUGGGUUAAGUCCCGCAACGAGCGCAACCCCUGUUGCCAGUUAAUCUGGCGAGACUCGGUAAAACCGGAGGAAGGUGGGGAUGACGUCAAGUCAGCAUGGCUCUUACGUCCUGGGCUACACACACGCUACAAUGGCUGGUACAAAGGGAAGCAAGACUGCGAAGUGGAGCGGAUCUCAAAAAGCCGUCUCAGUUCGGAUUGUAGGCUGCAACUCGCCUGCAUGAAGUCGGAGUUGCUAGUAAUCGCGCAUCAGACGGUGCGAUGAAUAUGUUCCCGGGCCUUGCACACACCGCCC
RNAcentral lists this ribosomal RNA (1187 nucleotides) under uncultured Chloroflexota bacterium. RNAcentral's name for it is "bacterial SSU rRNA". It matches the Rfam family "Bacterial small subunit ribosomal RNA", at positions 28 to 1395 of the family's 1533-position model. The record is from RNAcentral. Lineage: Bacteria; Bacillati; Chloroflexota.